This 903-nucleotide ribosomal RNA is filed under the name uncultured bacterium. RNAcentral's name for it is "bacterial SSU rRNA". It matches the Rfam family "Bacterial small subunit ribosomal RNA", at positions 8 to 902 of the family's 1533-position model. The record is from RNAcentral.
AGAGUUUGAUCCUGGCUCAGGAUGAACGCUAGCUACAGGCUUAACACAUGCAAGUCGAGGGGCAGCGGGAUUGAAGCUUGCUUCAAUUGCCGGCGGCCGGCGCACGGGUGAGUAACGCGUAUCCAACCUUCCGUACACUCAGGGAUAGCCUUUCGAAAGAAAGAUUAAUACCUGAUGGUAUGAUGAGAUUGCAUGAUAGCAUCAUUAAAGACUUAUCGGUGUACGAUGGGGAUGCGUUUCCAUUAGGUAGUAGGCGGGGUAACGGCCCACCUAGCCAACGAUGGAUAGGGGUUCUGAGAGGAAGGUCCCCCACAUUGGAACUGAGACACGGUCCAAACUCCUACGGGAGGCAGCAGUGAGGAAUAUUGGUCAAUGGACGAGAGUCUGAACCAGCCAAGUAGCGUGAAGGAUGAAGGUCCUACGGAUUGUAAACUUCUUUUAUAAGGGAAUAAACCCUCCCACGUGUGGGAGCUUGUAUGUACCUUAUGAAUAAGCAUCGGCUAACUCCGUGCCAGCAGCCGCGGUAAUACGGAGGAUGCGAGCGUUAUCCGGAUUUAUUGGGUUUAAAGGGGGCGCAGACGGGUCGUUAAGUCAGCUGUGAAAGUUUGGGGCUCAACCUUAAAAUUGCAGUUGAUACUGGCGUCCUUGAGUGCGGUUGAGGUGUGCGGAAUUCGUGGUGUAGCGGUGAAAUGCUUAGAUAUCACGAAGAACUCCGAUUGCGAAGGCAGCACACUAAUCCGUAACUGACGUUCAUGCUCGAAAGUGUGGGUAUCAAACAGGAUUAGAUACCCUGGUAGUCCACACGGUAAACGAUGGAUACUCGCUGUUGGCGAUACACUGUCAGCGGCUUAGCGAAAGCGUUAAGUAUCCCACCUGGGGAGUACGCCGGCAACGGUGAAACUC